RNAcentral lists this ribosomal RNA (460 nucleotides) under uncultured bacterium. RNAcentral's name for it is "partial 16S ribosomal RNA". It matches the Rfam family "Bacterial small subunit ribosomal RNA", at positions 338 to 795 of the family's 1533-position model. The record is from RNAcentral.
CCUACGGGAGGCAGCAGUGAGGAAUAUUGGUCAAUGGACGAGAGUCUGAACCAGCCAAGUAGCGUGAAGGAUGACUGCCCUAUGGGUUGUAAACUUCUUUUAUAAAGGAAUAAAACGAGGCACGUGUGCCUUUUUGCAUGUACUUUAUGAAUAAGGAUCGGCUAACUCCGUGCCAGCAGCCGCGGUAAUACGGAGGAUCCGAGCGUUAUCCGGAUUUAUUGGGUUUAAAGGGAGCGUAGAUGGGUUGUUAAGUCAGUUGUGAAAGUUUGCGGCUCAACCGUAAAAUUGCAAUUGAUACUGGCAGUCUUGAGUACAGUUGAGGUAGGCGGAAUUCGUGGUGUAGCGGUGAAAUGCUUAGAUAUCACGAAGAACCCCGAUUGCGAAGGCAGCUUACUAAACUGUGACUGACAUUGAUGCUCGAAAGCGUGGGUAUCGAACAGGAUUAGAUACCCUGGUAGUC